CCUACGGGUGGCAGCAGUGGGGAAUAUUGCACAAUGGGCGAAAGCCUGAUGCAGCAACGCCGCGUGAAGGAAGACGGUUUUCGGAUUGUAAACUUCUAUCAGUAGGGAAGAAAGAAAUGACGGUACCUAACUAAUAAGCCCCGGCUAACUACGUGCCAGCAGCCGCUGUAAUACGUAGGGGGCAAGCGUUAUCCGGAAUUACUGGGUGUAAAGGGAGAGUAGGUGGCAAGGUAAGCGAUAUGUGAAAGCCUUAAGCUUAACUUAAGGAUUGCAUAACGAACUAUCUAGCUAGAGUACAGGAGAGGAAAGCGGAAUUCCCAGUGUAGCGGUGAAAUGCGUAGAUAUCAGGAAGAACACCAGUGGCGAAGGCGGCUUGCUGGACUGAAACUGACGCUGAGGCUCGAAAGCGUGGGGAGCGAACAGGAUUAGAUACCCGGGUAGUC
This 443-nucleotide ribosomal RNA is filed under the name uncultured bacterium. RNAcentral's name for it is "partial 16S ribosomal RNA". It matches the Rfam family "Bacterial small subunit ribosomal RNA", at positions 338 to 795 of the family's 1533-position model. The record is from RNAcentral.